This 4208-nucleotide unclassified non-coding RNA is filed under the name Hevea brasiliensis (rubber tree). Lineage: Eukaryota; Viridiplantae; Streptophyta; Magnoliopsida; Malpighiales; Euphorbiaceae. The record is from RNAcentral.
UGACAGUUAACCGCGGUGCUCUUGUGAUCAUGAAGGGUGAGAAGAUUAGUACAAAGAAUCUCUACAAAUUGGAAGGAAGCACAUUGAUUGGAAGAAUGCAAGUGGAAGCAAGAGGCAACAUCAACAAUCAAGAGUGCAAGGAAGUACCCAAGAGAAAAUUGAUUUUUGCAGAAAUUGUGAAGGUUAAUUCUGUAUGACUUGAAGAUUGAGAGGGUUGAAGAAAAUAUUUGAUUGGUGUAAGAAAAUUUAAGUCAAGGUGGAAAUUUGUUAUAUGCCCUAACUUUAAUUCUUAUUUGUUAAGAAUUAAACACUCUUAAUGAUUAAGAAUUUUGCCCUAGCUUUGUUAUAUGCCCUAGCUUUGAAGAGUAUGGUUGAACCAAACUGUCUUUGAAUUAUCAAGGACUUAACCAUAAAGAAGUUUUGUUGGCAAGUGUCUUGAAAAGAAUUUAAAAAAAUAAAGGAAAUGCAAGUUUGGACAAGUUGCAGGAGGCGGUAAUUCUUUUGCCCUAAAUAUAGUUGAUUCAUAUGUGCCUAUAUAAAGGAGAUUAUUUAUCUAUUUGUAAGUAAUCCAAAUUUUAUGAGAAGAUGGGAAAAAAUUUAGGGAGAAUUUUCUUUGGGGUUUUAGAUGUAAUUAGGUUUGAGGGUUUUAAGUGAUUUAUGAGUGAGAAUUAUUUAGUGAUUGUAAUUAUUUUUUAUCAUGAUACAAGAUUUAUCUGUGGAGUAAGUUAAUGCUAAAUUACUUUAAAUUUUGUGUUCUUUUACUUGUGAGCAGUGUUGUAAAAGGCACUAGACGACGCUAACCGAGGCGUUGAUGCCUCGGCUAGUUAAGGUGAGGCAAAUGAGAAAAAGAGCGUGCCUAAGACCUUCGAAGUGAGAGGCGACGUCUCUUCAAAGUAACAGGCAUUUUAUCCUUUUUUUCUUUUUUAAAAAAAUUUUGUUUUAACAGCGUAUAACAAAAGAAACCUUAACUUUAAUAGCUCCACUUCAUGCCACCAAUAGAUAGCAGAGCACAAAGAGAAACAAAGCAACCGAGUAUAUUCUUCCUUCCUUUCAUUCAUCUUUACAUUCUUUUCUCUCUCUGCUUUGCUCCUCUUCUAUUUUCUUCUCCUUUUACUGGCGCUGCACAACAUACAAGUAGGUCCAGCACCUGUUGAGAUUCACAGCUUUUUUGUCUUUUUAACUUUUUUUUUCCUUUUUUCUCUCCUCCUACUUCUCUUAUUCUCUUCUUUUAUGAUCCAUUUUUCACGCCAGCAGGAUUAGACUUACAACACUUUAUUUUUUUUUUCUUUUUAACUUUUUUUCUUCUCCUCUCCUCCUCCAAUUUUUUACUCUUCUUCUCUUAUUCUCUCAUCACACCAUCUUUUAAAGCAGAACUUGUAAUUUUUUUUUAAUUUUUUUUUCAUUUUAAUUGUUUUAUUAGAUUUGUUACUUUUUAAUUUAUUGUUUCAUUAUUGGUUAGAUGGGUAUUGUGAUGUGCAUUUUGUUAAAUAGAUAUUGUGAUUUUGACAUGCUUUUCCUUAAAUGGUAUUGUGAUAUGAUGUGCUUAAAAAAGAAUUGAUGUGUAUUUGCAAAUAAUUUUUUCAUUUUGAUAUGAGUAUUGUGGCAUGUUCUAUAAUGUCGCUAUUUUUAUUUAUUUUGCUACAAAGAUCAUAGAUGUGAAAUGUUGAAUGUAAAUUCAAUGGUGGGAUACAAUUUCCUUUUAGGCAUUACCAAAUGUUGUAAAAGUCUUGUGUAAUAUGUUUUUUUUUUUUUUCAUUUAUUAAACUAGUUAAAAGUAUGAUAUUUUUAUGUUAAAAGUAUAUAUAUGUAGGCUAUGACCCUUCACUUGAAAAAGGCCUUCACAUUGCCUCUCACCUCUCACCUCUCACCUGGGCUAUAGUGUACCCUAUCACCUUAAUGUCGCCUCUCGCCUUAAUAGCACCAUAUUGAAUAGGGAUCCUAACUUUUAAAAUGUUGCUGUUAUUGUGUGGAUUUAUUAGAGCUGAACAUUAAUGGCACUACUUUUAAGGAUAAGUUUCUUGCAGAAAGCAUUUAUGCCUUGUACAUUUAAGUUAAUGAAGGCCAAUUGUGUAGAGGACUAAAGUGUCCUUACAAGUGCUGGCAUGCAUGCCAAGCUGAUAGUUAUUUAGAAGAUGUACCCAGAAAAGUGAUUUCUAUGCCUUGUAGUGUGCUAACACUUAAUCUGAUGUUUAUUCUAUCUUGGUUCCAUAUUUUUCUUCAGCAUUUUAUUUAUUGGCUUAGUUAGUGCUGUGAGGAAAAUUGUUGGUUAUUGUGUGUUGUUCUGAAAGAAAAAUCUUGUAUAGUGUUACCAUCCCUAUGGUGCUCUUUCAUGGACUUACUUCCUUGUCACAUUUUAGUCAAAGUCAGAAAUAUUUUUGUCAGGCUACUGAGUGAUAUAAGAUAAAAUAUGUUGUUAACAGUAAUUGGUGAAAUUGUUUUUUUAAAUUGAUUGGUUAAUUUGUACUGCUUCAAUUCCUUCUGUGGUUAGAGUUGCAAUAAAAUAAGGUUAUGUUAACAUUUUGUUGAUAAUUGGUUCUAUAAAUUAUAGGUGGAAACAAACAUUUAUCAGCUCCACUAAUAAAUUAUUAAGUCAAUCUUGAACAUUAUCAAGUUGUCUGGACUCUGGGCUUGUGAAGGUUUCAACUACUCCAAGCCAGACUUCCUUUAGAAACACUGAUUUGCUGUGUUUUCCCUUUAUGUUGCACCGUCACUUUUAAACUUUGUUUUUAAAUUUGUUUUAAUACUACAUUCAUUGGGGACAUUUUUUGGAUGGUUCACUUGUACUGGUUAGGGGUGUCAAAUUUUAGCAGCUUGAUAGCUUCUGACUUUGGUUGUGUUCCAUUUUCCUUCUUUUAGAAUCAUGUAAUAUCACUUAUUGCCAUGAUUACUAUAGUCACUUGGUGGAAACCUGCUAUGAUUAAUAAAUAAUUAUUAAUCUGCUACUGAACUGUUUAAUGGCAUUUUCAUCCAACACUUUAUCGUGAAAGAACAAAUUGAUUUGGUGUUUGUGCCAUAACUGGGACUGCCUUUAACAUGCAAAUUCAAGCUAAAAACUUUCUUGACUUGUACUGCUAAGGUCAGUAAUAUUAGCAAAAAGGAUGACACUCGAGGACUUGUAACAUUAGUUUGAUGCAACAGUGAAUAUACCUUUCAUUCAAAAUUUAAGCAUAUGGUAAAAUUAAGAUGUAGAAAUUCAAUGCAUGAAGAUAACUUCUAUUUCUAUGUGAAAGAAACUGCUGUAUUUAACAAAGAGAAAAAUCUUUAUCUAAUGGCUUUUGGCAAAUUGCUGUCAAUGGUUCGUUUGCCCUCUUCUACUAAUCAAAGAUGCUUAUGAUUUAGUGGACUUUACCUUUCUGAGCAUGGUCUCCUGUGGAGACAAGCAUUAAGCUCCUGCGCUGUAACCUUUUCAGGCACAAAAAGCCGAAAGGGAGGCUACAGAUCUAAAGGGUACAAUGAGGAAGAGAAUGGAGUUCCUUGAUUUGGAUUAGUGGAUACCCUGCAACCAAGUUACAUGGGUCCGCACAUAUUUUAGCGGUCAAUUGUAGGGAUAUGAUAAGGUUGGAUGCUCUUCCUUAUUCUAUGAAAUUUCUGUAACAUUUUUCAAUGAAAUGUAUUUGACAAAUUUCAUUAAUGCUCGUUCUGUGAAAUUUUUAUUCAAGUUUGGAUGUGGUGUAGUAUGUAGUGGUUCGCUUAUUCCAUUUUCCGCUUUCAUACUGUAUUGGAUAUUUUCAGUUGUAAUGUUUCUGUACAAUCAAGAAAAUUAGAAUCGCACCUUGCAGGCAUUGUUAAUUCUUUCGACUGCAGGACCUCGGAUCUGCAUUGCACUCUUCCAGUAAAGAGAGAUGAUUAAUCAUUGACAGGGAUGGUGAACAUUAACGCCACUUUGAACUUCUAUAAAUGCCACUGGGCUUGUUAAGGGUAGGAUGAUAUUCAUUCUUCUCCAGUUUAAUUAGAAUGUGGUAGACUUAAUAAUGAAGCAUUUAAGGUGGGUAUUCUCAGGCAAUGAGGCAUUGUUUGCCCCCUCGAUGAAUAUUGGGUUACCAAGAAAUCAAAGGGAAGGCUAUUUUUGUUAAUGGGAAGAUUAUUUGUGGGAGCAAAUGGGAAGCACUAUUUGUUGAAUCUAUGGGUUUUAAACCAAGGUACUAAAUCUAAGUUGGAAAUGGAAAUACUGUGGUUGAGCUAAACAAUCAAAACUCUGAAGCAUCUAC